This 1341-nucleotide long non-coding RNA is filed under the name Lynx pardinus (Iberian lynx). Lineage: Eukaryota; Metazoa; Chordata; Mammalia; Carnivora; Felidae. The record is from RNAcentral.
CCGGCACAGGCGGGCUUGCUUGCAGCCCAGCGGGAGCGGCCAGCCGGGCAGAACUAGCUGGACUUUCCGACGGGCCCCCAUCCCGAGGCUGCGGCAGCUUCGGUUCCGAGCCUGACUGGAACGGAGCCCGAGUCCCGGCCCCUGAGGGGAUCGCUCUCUGCAGACCAGUGGGACCCCGAAACUUGAACGCAAUACCUACUCCCUUUUUAUGCCUUCCUUUGUCACUUCCUCACCUUUCUCCCAGCGCGUUCUUUUUCCCCCCUUUUCGUUCUCCCUCCCUCGAAGGACACAAAAGUGGCUGCCGAGGAAAGAUUUGGAGGCAGUGGGAGCUUUUCUCUUCGGAGAGCGACCGUGUGGAAAGAAUUUUUGGGAAGCAGCUUUCUAACACCUCAGCCCUCCUGCCCCCCCAAGCCUCUCUUUACCUCUCUGAGGAGAAAAAGCCCGUAGAUUGAAAGUUCGGGGGGCAUCUUGCUGGGUGCUGUAAGAGGAAAGUGGGGGAGGACCCCGUCCUCGUCCCGGUAGUUGGCUGGACUUGUACCGGCCGUUGGAAACCCCGAAGUGCAUUUCCGUGUGGGACUUUUAUAGAUCUAUAUUUUUAGAUUUUUAAAUAUCAGAUAAAAAAAUAUAUAUAUAUGCUUUCUAUAUAUUUCCUGACGACCUGCCCCUGACAGCGCGAUGUACAAUACGGUGUGGAGUAUGGACCGCGAUGACGCAGACUGGAGGGAGGUGAUGAUGCCCUAUUCGACAGAACUGAUAUUUUAUAUUGAAAUGGAUCCUCCAGGUACUUGGGAGAGAAAAAGAAUCUUGUGAUGGGUCUGAUUGGUAUAUAACAAGACCUUAGUGAUGUUUUCAGGGCAGAAGUGUUCCUGGGAGCUCUAGGUUUGGGAUGAGGGGCAGAUUUGCAGUUAGAGCUGCAGUAAAACUGCUUCUGGUAUACCCGCUUAAAGUUUGCAGUUAGGACCCCGAUCCUAUUGUCCUGCGAGGGUGGGGGUGGGGGCUGGAGUGGGGGUGGGAGGAGAGACUCAUUUCUUUUACUUCUUUUUGCCUAUGCGUGUCGUUCAGGUUUUUGUUGUGCACCCCCCGGUCCUUCUCUCCCCCCCUCCCCCCCCCCCCCCCCUUAAAGAUCUUCUACCUGCAUAGGAUGCUUUAUAUCCGAGCCUUGAAGUCAGCCUUUCCCUUUAGGGAAAUUCUUUAAAGCUUGUCGUUUCAUACGUUCAUCUUAUUUGAUUCGUUGUGUUCUACCUUCGUUAACUUCUGAAACUGGGUUGCCUAUGUGAUAAUUCAUUUUGACACCCCCCCUUUUUUUUUUUCUCUUACAGAAACCAAAUGCUGGUUAGUGAU